Ailuropoda melanoleuca (giant panda) is the source of this 3140-nucleotide long non-coding RNA. RefSeq lists it as uncharacterized. The transcript has 8 exons. Lineage: Eukaryota; Metazoa; Chordata; Mammalia; Carnivora; Ursidae. The record is from RefSeq and is a predicted model, not a curated record.
UUUUCUUUUCUUUUCUUUUCUUUUCUUUUCUUUUCUUUUCUUUUCUUUUCUUUUCUUUCUUCUUUCUUUCUCCUUCUUUCUGACAGAAGAUUGGAAACAAUAUCCUUUUCCGAUCAGUCCAGUAAUACAAUGUCCUUCAGUGUCCACUUGAGCAUUUCAGUGGAGAAGAAAAGAAACUUUGCUACCUUGGAGCUGAAGACUGCUUAGGUCAGUGGAUGCUAAUAAAGUCCUUAAGGACUUAUGGAACCAGGAGUUAACUUUUCUCAACUGUGAAGUAAAGAUGCUGCUGUUCCAUGUUCAGUUCUCAUCUUUCCAAGACUGUGCUGCUCGAGGAGAUCUGCCCUGUGGAAGGCGAACUGUGAUCUAGAUUAUUGGUCAAACGAAGUCAACCGAUUCAUGACUUGCCAGCUGGAUCUCCCUUGCUUCUUCCAGGAGAGAGGGGGUUGAAAGAGCCAACAGGAACUGAGAAGCAUGAUAAACGAAGGAGGAAAAGUAACAAAGAGCUUGAAGACUUCCAUGGCUCCCAGGUCCUGCAUGGAAGGCCGGCGGCCUCAGAAGGGCAGAACCAAGGAGGUGCCUGUGGCUGCAGAGGCCAGACUUGUCUUGGAAAAAAUGGAGAAGAGCCAGUAAACUUGGCUUCCUCGCUUCUGCUCAUCCCCAUCAGCAGAGAGAAAUAAUGACUCCCGAAACAUUUCAGAAUCAAAAAGUUAAAACGAUGGUUCAGUGAUGCUACAUCAAGCCAGAUGCGGGCUAAUGGUUUGAAGACAUUGGCCUAGCAAGAUGGCCACAAGCUUAAAAAAUAGGAUUCCUAAGAAGUUUCUUUUCUCAGACAUCUCAAACCCCCAAACGAGAGAAGAUACUGAGGCCUGUUGCCACAAACCCGUAGAUCCGAACUUGUGGUGAUAGUCCACACAAGCUUGUGUCUAUAGGUAUGUGUCUGUUAGGCAAUCUCACAGACUGCGGGCUUUGCCUGUAUGCCCCCCAAUCCCCCUUCCCACCCCUUUCACUCCCCCUCUUCCCCUUAGUUUCCUUUAAGAGUGGUAGAAAUGGAAAGAAGGGCUGGUACGGGAGGAAGGAGACCUUCUGUUCCGAGAGGGAUGGGAGUCCUCAUUCAUUAAUUUAUAAGCGUGCCCUCAAUUCCCUUAGCUCUUGUAACUAUUGUCAGCUAUCAAAUUAGGAGACGGGGCUCGCAGGUGAGGCAGCAAGACUUUGGGUGACUCAGACAGCUUACUGUUGAGGGAUGAGUAAAUAGAUACCUAAACAAGGGUCUGUUUUGUUUUCUGUAGGCCUGACUAAUUGUUUUGAAAGUUACCAUGAUCUUUUUUUUGAAAAUGAACAGAAGCUCGUGUAGGAGACCCAUCUCACCCUGGCUUGAUUUGUACCUUGUGGCAGUUCUUUCUCCCCCAUUGUUCUCAAAUCCAUCCUUACCUUUUAAAAUAAAAUUAACCGGGGCAAUGGAUGUGCUGAAGUCUUUAUACUUCUGUGCAUAGCCAACACUGUAAGAAAAAGAACUUUUUAUAAAAAAGAAAUCUCCCGUUGAGGUCUAACUUCAUAGUUGGCCAGAGUUGUAUUGUAAGUCUUCACAUGUUUAAGAGGCUGGAAUGAAAAUAAUUUUAUCCCCUUGCCUCUUAAAUGUCACCAUUGUGCCAGGAUUGGAAAGCCAAACUGACUGCAGAUCAAAGCAAAAGUGGCUAUAUUUGUCUCAUUCCAACAAUGUGAGCUGAGGAGUCUGUAAACAGAACCCAGGGUGAAAAGUUGAUCAGAUUUGGAUGACUCUUAAACUCUUGCAUUCCCUUCUGGUCAAACACGGUGCCAGGAAUUCCCUUAAGAUUUUUUUGUUUUGUUUUGUUUUACUUAUUUAUUUAUUUUUUUUUUGUGCAGACUCUUCUAACCAGAAGAGUCAAUAUAAAGCAGUUACUGAGUUACCAUUGGCAAAAAGUUUGAAAUUCAAAUGGUAACAUUUUAUUUCAUUAAAUGCUCUUUCCUCUUCAGAGCCACACUAUUCCGGGAUGGUAGAACUCUUUCUUCUAUUAUGUCCAUAAAAAUGAAAUGUUGUAUGUUGGAAUUGGGAAGGUCUAGGUAUAGACCCCAUAUGUUUAAGGGCGAGAAUGGAAAGUUCUGCAAACACUCCACCAGGAGGGUAUGGUGUACGUGCGUUUUCUUUGUGUUUGCUUGGCAUAGCAUCGAGAAGGGUUGUAGAUCUCAGCUGCCAGCUUGCCAAGAAGUCAUUACUUCAUUAUGCGAUGAUAGAACAUGACUUCCAGAAGAGAAAGAUUGUCCUCAUUGACAUGUAUCAUGUAUAAUCGUUUGCCCAAGGCCUUGAUCCACCCAUUAAACAAACAAUCUACUUGAUUGGUUUUACCUGCUUCUUUGAAGUGGUUGACUUAGAAUGGAUAAGCUGCUAGCAAAUUAAACUUGUACUUCCCUGGAUAAAUACUUAUCUUUGAUAAAGGCAAAAUCAUGUCUCUACCCAUCAUCCCUUUAACCUGCCGUUAAAGUGUGUUACCAGUGGGACCAAUGGAGUUCAUUGAAUCCAAGGGAAUGUUAUGCUGCCUGUAGUCCCCAUACAGAGACACCAGAAGGACUUCAGGAUGGCCAUGAGGUGACUGCCAGGUUGUUUCUUUGAAGGAGGUUUUUAAAACCCAUUACCCCAAGAAAAAAGAUUAUGGAGAGCAGUCAAUCUUUUCAAGGUUUCUCAAAGACCUGAGAUAUUAUUAUUUGAUUCAUCUGACUGGAAAAUAUUCUAGUGGAAAACCCAAAGCCCCUGGACCCUAGCCACAAGAAACAGGAUAUUAAAUAUUUUACUUGAUGAUGCAAUUCAGUGUUUUUCCCUCCCUCCAUGUCCAUGAAUGAAUGCUUCUGUAGAUAUUAAUUAUUCCUUUGGGUCUCCCUCAGAGUGGACCAAAUAUUCUACAGGAAGCUGCAGAAAGUAAAAUAAUUUCAGGUCUUCCUGGGAAGACUCUAAAAAUAUAUUUCAGUAGUCAUUAUUGCAUGGAGGUGUAGAGAGAAAGAGUAUAAAACAAAGCAGUUUUAUUAAAAUCCUCAACUCGUCACUAUCAAAAUAAAUUUAUGAAGCUGUAACACCAGGAUGUAGUUUAGAUUUUUUAAAAAAAAUGAAAAUUAUAAUUAUUUUUUUUUAA